Pelobates cultripes (western spadefoot toad) is the source of this 91-nucleotide non-coding RNA. NCBI's taxonomy places the organism in Eukaryota, Metazoa, Chordata, Amphibia, Anura, Pelobatidae. The record is from the annotation of a GenBank genome assembly.
ACUCUUUCACUAACAUACACACACCUUCACUGAUACACAUACUGUCCGUGUAUGUGUAUCAGUGAAGGUGUGUGUAUGUUAGUGAAAGAGU